AUUGUGAGUUUAUUUUGAGAUCAUUCGAAAGCAAAAAAAUACAUACAGAUCGCCAUGGACGCCAUUGAUUCCGUCGUUGAUCCUCUCAGAGACUUCGCUAAGGAUAGCAUUCGUCUCGUUAAACGUUGUCACAAGCCAGAUCGCAAAGAAUUCACGAAAGUGGCUGUUCGUACUGCGAUUGGGUUUGUAGUGAUGGGGUUCGUUGGCUUCUUUGUGAAGCUCAUCUUUAUUCCGAUCAACAACAUCAUCGUCGGUGCUACUUAGGAAGCUUUUGUGGUAGUGAUAUUAGAUUCAAGAUCUCUGAGUCUGAAGCACUUCAAUUGCAAAUGAAUCAAAGGACACAAGUCAGUUGUAUGUUUUUGAGGAAAGAAGAUUAGAAAUUUUCUUGUGUCAAGGCAGCACAUGUCAGUUCUGUGUUUUUGUGUAAUUGGAUUCCAUUUUGUUUCAAUGUUCUUUUUUGGUUCUUUUUUGAGUUGGAAACAAAACAAAAAUCAGACUUUUCUUGAAUGUAGAUCAAACUAAUUUAGUAAGCCAACUAAUUGAUGUUCUUUUGCACCC
This is an RNA transcript of Capsella rubella, 558 nucleotides long. It is a transcript of the gene named protein transport protein Sec61 subunit gamma-1, with no coding region annotated. The transcript is spliced from 4 exons. NCBI's taxonomy places the organism in Eukaryota, Viridiplantae, Streptophyta, Magnoliopsida, Brassicales, Brassicaceae. The record is from RefSeq and is a predicted model, not a curated record.